RNAcentral lists this unclassified non-coding RNA (16593 nucleotides) under Megachile rotundata (alfalfa leafcutting bee). Its description in RNAcentral is "uncharacterized LOC100879070, transcript variant X29". The record is from RNAcentral. Lineage: Eukaryota; Metazoa; Arthropoda; Insecta; Hymenoptera; Megachilidae.
AUUUAAUUUUUCUUCUUUUUUAGAGGGAGAAUGCGUGAGAGAGUGUGUAUGCAAAUUUCAGUCUGAAGAGUACUUCAUUUUUGGAAGAGUGUUAGUAAACAGGGAGAGAAUGCAUGAGAGAGUGAUUUGAGUAUGCAAAUUUCAGUCUGAAGAGUACUUCAUCUUUGGAAGAGUGUUAGUAGAGUAAACAAUUGAAACCUUAACGCAUUGAUUGCUUUAGUGGAAUUUAAUUUUAAGAAAAUGAUUAUAGAACAAGAAGAAGAAGAAUACUAUUUCUGAUAAGUUACAAUACUAAAUUUUACCCAAUAUAUAACAAGACUACAUACAAAUAUUUUAAGUACAUAUUAAUCUUUCUAAAAUAAUGAAAGUUUCUGCGAAUGCAGCAAUGUAAACUACUGCAUUCUAAUACUUUUGCUAUGACCUUGCCACGUGCUAAGAAUUCCACUCUGGCAGUCAAAGCGUUAGUUUCCAAUAUUGUAUACUUCAACUAUAAGUCUCCAAUACACUCUCCAUAAUCUUCUAAUAUACUCUUCAAUAUACUCCUAUAAUUAUUAAAAUCUAUUCGUCGAUGGAUCAAACCCACAGCGCCAUCUGUUUCCAACAUAUCAAAAAAUUUAGCAAGUAUUUGAAAAGAAAGAGAAUUGUAGAAGGAACACCAUGCAAAGGAAUGCUAUUUGGAACGGUGAAAGUGAAACCGAGCACGAAGCAGAAUUCAAAACCCGCGGGACGCUGAUUCAUAUUUAUACUCUUUAGUUCAUUUUUUUAAUACUUUUAACACGCUAUGACGCACACGUGCCCGAUAUAGCGCAAUUUCCUUUGUGGCAAGGAAAAUCGACAGGAUUUGACCUCAUUUGUCUGUCUUUCGUCAAUGCCAGGGAAAAGAAAACGGAAAAAGUUAUUGCGGUGAACGAAGGACUCCGUUUCAGUUCGCAGGAAACGGAGAAAUCAAAAUGAUAUGUAAUAAAUGAUCCUUGAUAGAUUUCUUUACGCAAUCAUUGAUGAUCGUGAAUCGGUAACAAUUUACUUUCACGUAAUGGCGUCUGCUAUUUCUUCAACUUCAUUUCAGAUAUGUUUCUGUUGCAUUACAUUGAAUAUUAUGGAAUAGUAAUAGAGUCACUGUUGACGUUAUAAAACUUGAGAAGUUUAGAUAAAAAAAUUCAGAUAUUAUUUUUGAAAAUAUGGACUCAUUAGUGAAAUGCUAAAUUUGGAAUAUGUUAAGAAGAAAAUAUAAUUAGUUGUAUAAUAAGGAAGAAUUCACAAGUGCAUUUGUAACGUUUCACAAGUAUUUAAAUAAGUCCUGAAUGUCCAGUCUGAUGUAAAUAAACAUUAAUGGAAGGAUUCGGCAGUAGGUCAUGGCUUUUAUGGUGCCAAAGAACUCGAAUGACCUAUCAAACCUGUUUCUUCGCGGCACGAGGAUUCUUCAUUCACCAGGAAGAUGAUUCGACUUACCUGAAUGUCCUAGACCUUGCGCGAGGGUGAAAGUCGAGGUCGAGAUCUACUCUCAGAUUUGGAUAUCGCUUCACGAACGAUUCAGCUAUAUUUAUCCUAAUUAUCCUCUUGAAAUAUGCUUCUUAUAGUUCACUAAAUUGCCUAAUUUAUUUACAAAGUGCUACAGUGAUAAAUUACUAAACUUAUAUAUCUAACUUACUCUCACAAAUGUGAUAAAUGGGUGCAUUAAAAUAAUUAUAGAUUUAGAGAUCUAGAUAUCAAGAUGUUUAGAUAUUUAGGUAUGUUAGAAUUUAGGUAUCAAAGUAAACCAUGCAGGGAUAAAUUCAAGCAUGUAUGAAUUUGAGAACCUACAAAUUUAGCUAUGAAUUUGAGAACCUAACCAUUCACUUCUACAGUAUAAAUAUAACUACAAAGCUAUUCAAAUCUACUUGUGCAAUCAAAAAUUUUUAUUUGCUUAAAAAUAUUUCAUAGUCUGCUUAUCCGCUACAUAAACCUCAAACAAGGCAAAAAACAGAAAAAGAUCUCUGAUAUAAGAAUAACUGGUAUUUUCACAAAAUUACGUAAUUUCUCUUUCACUGAAUAUUUCAUAUUCCGUUCAAUUUACCAGGGCACAUGCAUAUUUCAUUUUUCUCGUUUUUUUUUCCCCUCGUAGCGACGACGUUUCGAGCCAGGACUAGUUCGAGCAUCGAAAGGAACUUUCACGACAGGAAGAAAUAUUUUGCGUCGCAUUUCGGAGAACCUGAAUGGUUAAUUUUUAUUUCCGGCCGUUGUGGCCCUGUUAGCCAGAAAUUUUCAUACAAUCACACCGAUGGAAAGUUACGGGAGCAGGCUCGCGUUGACCGCAGCCGGUCGAUCCAGUUUUCAUGAUUCCACGGAUCCGGAUCCAGCAGGACGUGUCGCGACAAAUCGGGCACCAUUCCUUUCCGUCGAUGCCACCUGACCUCAUAAUCGUGAUUUUCUAAUUUGUUCGCUCUCCCGCGAGCAAUCCGUCCUGCCUGAUCGCAUUCUUUCCUUGGAUCUCUUUAAUUAAUUACUUCGAGUCACGGUAUUCGUUGAAACACGUAGCAGUGUUUCUACUUUAAUCAAAAAUUUCAAUCUAGCAAUAUUGUUGAUGAGUGUUCAAGAUAAUCAUAUCUUUACUAUGAUGGAUGUCAAACACAGUAAUUGUCUGUGUGUAGCAAUUGUUAUUGUUAUUAGGUAUAUUCUUUGAGACUGUGAGCAAUUAUAUUUUAUAGAGUAAUUGCCAUUGAUGUAGCAAUAAUACUCUACAAGUAAUACUCAUGUAAGAAUAAAGACAUGUAUUGCUACAGCAGCUGCUACUAUCAGCAAUUGCAAUAGGUUAUAGCAGAGUAGUUGCCAUUGGUGUAGCUACAUUACUAUUUGUACAAAUAAUACUUAUAUAAGAAUGAGGACAUGUAGUGGUAUAACAGCUGCUACUAUCAGCAAUUGCAAUAUGUUAUAGCAGAGUAGUUGUACAAAUAAUACUCAUGUAAGAAUGAGGACAUGCACUGCUAUAGCAGAUAUUCUCAGCAAUUGUAGUUACAAUCUUCAGUAAUAUUUUGUAUGACCAUAAGCAGUUUUCAUAUUGCUAAUUGAAUGUGUGAAUAGAUAGUAGGUGAACAUCUAUCAGAUAUUGUAAGGAUAUUAUUAAUGUAUACAAGCAAUUAUCAUAUUGCUGAUUAUAGUAGUAUCUGUAAGUGUAUGAUUAUCAACUCUCUGUAACAUGCUUGAAGUAUUAUAAUGUACUGUCCAUAUUCUUAUUUUCUCUAAAUUUGCACUUUAAUAUCCUCAGCAUUAGACUAACAGUAUUUUAAUUUCCAGAUAGCUGCACUUUCUAAGACACCUAAUUAUCUCAUUAGAGGUGAAAUUAUUCAAGUCGACUGCAACUAUACAUCAUUCUUGCAUCUAUAAGAAGAUCCUUGAAGUUGCAAAAUCAUAGCAAUCACUUUGCAAAGAUUAAGAAACGAAGCCUUUCUCUGAAACCAGGAAUAACUGAAGAUAGUCUCUCGAUCACAGCAUAAGAUUUCACUUUCCGUCUAUGCGGUAAAUCGACCUGUCUUCAUUUGCAAUCGAAGACCUAUCAUUAGCAACGUUGAUUGUGUUGUUUUUCCAAUUUCCGUUCGGAUUUACGUGUGUUGAGAUAAAAAGAGACCCCGCAGAGCAUAGUGGGUAGGGUCCAGCCGUAACACGAACGUGAAAGUAAGAUUCCACUGCACGAGCCUGUAUUUACCUUUGCGAGCUCUUCGUACGUACACACUGGAGAACCCGUUUCGGGAUUUUACACGUUCCAGCGGGCAAACAGGCGUGGACCGUCCCACGGAACCGAUUAGAAAACUUUCUCCAUUGGCCGUGACCUCGAUACCAGCCACGUUUCGGCGAUGACGUGCUGCAAAGGCUCGAUAAGGAAUCCAAUUCCACCGAGGUUCUUCCCAAGUUACGCCAAUGUGGAGAACGCGAAGAUGUGCUAUAGGAAACGUGGAAGAAAGUUUGCAGUGGCUUUUAUUCGGAUUCGUUUGAAUGAAGUUUAAUUCUGAAAUUCCUGAGGAAUCGAAAUAAACAUUAUUGUAGAUCUGAUCAUUGUAGAUCAACACGUUUACGAAUCCAACGCGGUACAAUCAAGCAUCAUUCAAUACGAUGGAACGUGAGCGACGUACGAACGUGGGUUCACGAGUAUUAGGCUGUUUGGAGAGGAUUGAAUAAUGUUUUGAAUGCAGUGUAAUCGCCUCGUGACAGGAAUCUUAACGCAGAACUUGUGUUGAAGAAACUUUAUUUCGGAUGGGACACUUGAGAUACAAUUUAGUUAAAUUAUUCUGAGAUCAUCUGACAUCAAAUACUCUGUAUACUCUGGCCUCAAACGCUGUGAAUCUUGUUCUCAAGAUUCUGGAUCGUCCGUCAAACACUCUGGAUAUUCUAACCUCAAACAUUGUGGAUUCUUUGAAUUGCAACAUUCUGGAUCAUCGGACAUCAAACGAUGAUGCUUUUUGUGGGAUUUUAAUGAGCUGAAGCGGUCAAAUAGCUUGCCAUCUGCUCGUUAAACCGCUUAUUGGUCAUACUCGAAGGAUUACGGCGCUGCAAAGGAUGCUCAUCGAGCUCGAGGAAGAUUUACCCUGACCCACUUCCGGUCAAGUUCAUUGCUCAUCCAUGGCACGCUGGCCUUACCUUGCACGACUGCCAUUCUUCGCCUCUUCCUGAUUCUUUCUCUUGCUCUCUAUUCACCAACCGGCUCAUCUUGCGAAUCUUGACGCCUCCGCUUUGACUAAACAGUAGAGCGAGAAUAGCAUUGAUCAUCGUCCCUCGGUAAAUUAUGCUCGGAGAGUGAAUAUCUCGAAUUGCGAAAUGUAUCGCGGUGUGAAGACAGCCUCGGAUAGUAAUUGAGAAGUAUCAGAUUUAGAAAGUAUGUAUCUUUCACCGUGACUCAUCGUGCUCGUUCAGCUACAUUCUUUAAGAACAAAUUUAUCAAUUGUUAAAUAUCAAUUUGAUUCUUUUAUGUGAAUUGUAAACUUAGGAAUCAAUCAAAAAUAUUUGUAGAGAGGUUAAUGUUUGUAUGGUAAUUAAUCUUCAGAUAAUGAAGUGAUGUUUGAUGCUGUGUUAAUAAUUAUUAUUAAUAUUUAGAGCAAAGUAAUUACAAUAUAGCAACGUUGUACAUAUUGAUAUCUAGAGCAAGACAAUUAGACAAUUAGACUGUUAAUAUCUAAAUACUCUGUUAUUGAUAUCCAGCCCAAUUAGAGUAAUCUUCAAAUGCACGGUAGCAUGUUAAUAAUUAUUGUUAAUACUGCAAUGAGAAAUUCUUAAUGAAUGAAACAUAAUUGAUACCCAAACCGAGCAUAAAUUCACCGAAAAAGGACACCAUGAUUUCAAAUGCAAAUACAAGUAUUUAUGAUGCAUAAACGGUAAAGUUCCUUUUCAUACUAAUCAGAUAUUCAUUAAGCUCAUUCAUGUUGCGAUCACAUAAAUUACCCUUAAUUGCAGCGCAUUUGUUUUCAAUUAUCCAGGAGUCCGUAUUUUAAUAAACGAGGAUCGAAUCGUGCCACGUGUCCAGAAUCGAAGGCAAUUUUAACGAACAGUCUACUUGCGGAAGCGUUUAUUACCUGCGUCACGAACACCUGUUAAAAACUCAUCGCGGAAGUUCCGACGGUGGCUGCCAAUAAAGAAAGAAAAUCGAGGUUUCAUAAAGUGCAUCCUGACACGAGCGGAAACGAGUAAACAGGAAGGAUUGCGGCAAUUCGUGAAGGACCUUUCCGUGGUAUACGACAGAAGAGUCAUCCUGUGUUGUGCAAUUUUAAUCGAACCGCUAUGGGACAAUUCAGGCUCCUCAAGGAACGAAUAUACGGGAUGUUGAGGAAAAGGUAUCAAGUUCGAAGAUAAAAUUUUUCUUUCGUCACAUGGGUGCAGCGUGAAUCGCGAAUUACAAAAUGCACGAGACAAUGGGGAAGACGUAUUAUCUCGCAUAGGUCUUAUUUAGCACACAAGGAGGACGAAGGGAGGUGAUUUUCAACGCAUCAAACAUUGGCUCAAGUACGUGGGAGAAGAGGAGGAGGCCCCAGUGUAAUCAUCAGCAUGCCGUGUAUCCGGGCAUUCAAUUCGAGGAUUCUCCUCGCCCUCCUUCGGGGAUCUUCUUCAUUGUGCAUACGUCUCCUCUUAGCGCUUUCGCAACGUGAACGGCCAGGACCAGGAUCCAAUCAUUAGGGGAAAAAUGCGCAUCCCAACAAAACGAUCGGAAGUGUAAUCGAUUCUUAGCGGAUAAAGAUUGAUGUUACGACAGUUAAUUGUAGGGUGAUAAUUUUCUCCAUUCAAAUCGCAUGAAGGAUAUUGCGUGAUAAUAAUAGCACGAGAGAUGCAUUUAAUGUUUUCAUCGCUUCCGAAGGAAUUGUGCUUACUGCUAAUUAUUCUGUAAUUAGAGAAAUGAAAGAGAACCUUUGUACUAAGCAUAUUACCAGAGGUCACCGCCUCCUUGGAAUGCGUGAUAUAAUACACUUAAGACUGAUGUCGCCAAGGAAGUCUACAUGUGUUUCUUGACAGGAAGCAAAACCAUAUGACACCUUUGUCGAAGACAGUCCUCGAUGCCAAUAAUGAAUAUCGAUGGAGAAGUUACAUAACGAUCCAGAAAACGCUUUAGAGUGUAUCGGACACAUAAUAGAGGAAUUCCUGUUGGGUUACGUGGAUAGAGCGUAAGAAAUCGAAUGGCAAUCAGUCGUGGUGGAACGAUCGCAAAAAAGUGAAUUGAACGGUGAUCAAGCCUCACGCUCUAUUGUCAGGAAAUGCAUUGGCGUCGCCGCACUAUAGCGGCUAUUAUCGGGUUUUCUUACUGUAUAUCACGCUGUGAAGGGAAGUGGCUUUCCCUGCCCUUGUUUCGAAACUGUCAUAUCCCUUGCUUUAUUGCCUCUUCAAAUGAUGAAAAUCUUUCAUCAUUAUCAGGAUUUGAUUACCCGUUUCCUUUCAUUAAUCUUCAAGAUUAUAAUAGGAGGAAGAUUAAUAUCUUUGUGGUAAUAUUUCAAAUUAUGGGAAUCUGAUAAUUAUCAUCUUGUGUUUCAAAUUAUUAUCCGCAAAAAAUGUAUUAAUGUUACAUGGUUGUACUCAUUGCUAGGAAUAUUUGGAUACAGGUUUAUUUGAAAUAUCAUAAGUGUCUGAUACUUGUGUCCUGAGUGCCGACCGAGUGACUGACCCACGAUUCCUUUGAGAACUUGCAUAACCGAGCCACGUACUACAACCGCCUCUCACUUCGUUUGAUACUGUCCGAUUUUAUUCGGGCUAACAUGUGCCUCGUACACCGAGGUUGAAAUUCGUCCAGCAGGCUGUGACGACGCUUGCAUAGUUUACCAGAAGAAAUUCAGUGCGCCUAUAAUGUUACACUGAUUUAUUUUACUACCGAAUUAGGCUUUGCUAUUGUGUUAUACUAAUGUCUGCGUGCUUAUCCGCUGAUGUGAUUCUAUGAUUUAUAGUACUGUAUUGUUAUACUCCUAAAGCGGUAAACUAGUGAAUCAGAUUUACUAUUACCCUGCUACAGGAUUAUUCUAUUACGUAGAUCUGUAGUAUAGAUUAACUGCUAUGAGUAAUAGCUCUCUGCUCUAUUGUAGUAUCUUAGUAGUUCAGUAGUAUUGUAGGCAUGAUGUAGUAAAUAUUAAUGAUAUAGAAUGAAAGAAUGUAACUUUAGUAGUAUCAUAAAAUGGUACUGAAAUACUAAAGGGUUAUAAUGAAUUAGACAUAUCUCAUAAAGUAUACAAUUGUCUGUGCUUGCAGAAAAGUAGGCUUUCAUUAUAGCAUAUGUAGUAGCCUAACUGUAUAGUAGUGUACAAUAAUUAUGCUAUAAGUGCAGGUUACAUAUACAAAGUGCUGUACCCAUUAGUACUCUAGUCCAUAAACAUUGUAAAAGGCAAAUGAAUUGAGUCAAUGUUUAACAAUUACAGGAGCAUCUACAAGGGAAAGCAUUAAUAAGAGCACAAUUCUACCAGGCAGGAAAAUCCAGCGUUUCGAACGGUUUAUUGAAUUCUGAGCGUAGAAAACGUUCGUCAAACUUUUAGAGCAGAAAAGAAAACUAUUAAAAGCGCUGCGACUGUAACUGGAUGGUAUCGAGUGCCGGUAAUGGAAACACUUUUACAACCGACAUUUUAUCAAUUUCUAAUUACACGCGUAAACGUUGCGAGAACGAAUAAUAAAAUGGAAAAACGUUUCCUUCAUAUUAGCACGGUACUUUCUACUUUUUGAGUCAACUUGACCUUACUGCCCUCUGGUACGUUGGUCUUUCAUUCUCUAAUGAAAAUACGUUAAAAAUAAUAUUCUUGGGAAUUUAACUAACUUUCGAUGUACAACCUCGUAUUUUCUCCUCGCAAUUCGGUGUAUUUAAUUAACAGAAUUUAACAGUGCGUGGACACUUUCACCGCGUCACCCAUAGCUCUUUGCUUUCCAUCGUGCUGGAAUUGGCAAAUUAAUGUCUAUUACGAAGGCUGCACGCGUCUUCCUGAUCGACGAAUGACAGAUAGAAAUCAGAACCGUAUUCGUUAUGAAAGGUCAUUUUUCUGCAUGGCUAUUCCGAUAUCUAUCUAGUCAUUCACACUUCUUUAAUAAUACAGGAAUUCAGUACUAUUGUACAAGUGCUCAGAACAAUCUUUGAGUGUGGAUUAUACUGUACAGAGAAGAGAUUUUUCAGUGAAAGCAAACGGUAGCUAAAGGAUCAAAUCGUAACGUUUGAUCGAUGCAUCGUAUUCAGUCAGCUCCAUGAAAUGAAACUUUGUUGUCCUAUGUACGUGAAACGUGUUCAACUUCUGCAAAUCCGGACAGGUUUGAUUGCGCAAAGAUGUUCGUUGCCAUUGCCGACAUAUUGUGCGCCUUGUGUGGCAGAAUUGCCAUAUUGGACAUUUGGAACUUCUGAGGAUGCGAAAUUUUCAUGUGUGGGAACUUGAGGAUGUGCACAUUUGAAAAUUUAGGAAACUUGAGAGUUUGGAAAUUAGAAACAUAUGCAACUGUAUAAAUUAUUGUUCUAAAGCCGCCCAAGACAAAGAGUGGGACUCGUGUUUGAUGGACAGUAUCAGCUGGAAAAAGCUACUUAUCUGGAAUUGUCUCAGGCAUAUACCGGUUCGCCAAGGGGCCAAUCGAAGGAGAGGCUUUCUCCUGGAUCACGGUCUGUCGGUGUUCCUUCGCACGGAGUCUCCACAACUUCUGGAGGGGAUAUCUAUAUAGUCUGUCCAUUCCGGCUGAGCCCCUUCAAACUGUUCACGAUCCUAAGCCCGUGUACGCGUAUUGCCAGCCCGUGUAUCUAUCGAGAUCAAUCGCGAUUUAACCGGUGCUCUCCACGAGAUCCUCUUUGAGAAGUUACCGGCGAAAGAACAAACAGAGGAGAAAAAAGGUUACCGCGGUAGAGAGAGGCGUGUAAAGGGGCAUGGCUCGAGCGUGGUGCGUUGUGAGAAAGUGCAACAGAGAACAGUAACGCGCGAAACGUAACCGAGUCGUGAGGUUUUUGACCGGAAGUCGGAAAGGAGAGACGCGGGAGUUGCUUGAGCAGUACGCUGGUACAGGAUAUACUCUGCACCAUGAUCGUGCAGAGGUGUCUAUUGGCAGCACCGAUCUGCUUGCUCCUGUCGAUUAAUUUCGUCAGGAUCGAAGCCGAACGAUGGUCAAGACAGGUGUCGAACAGUGAAUGGAUUCCAUUGGCGAACCCCAGGGCCACUCAGACCCAGAUCGAGCAAAGUAGCCCACCUGCACUACUGGCAAGCGGCUCUGCACAAGUGCCGCAACUUCCACAAUUGUCCUUGCCACCUCCUCUUCAACAACAGUACCAAGAACAACUUCUGCAGCUGCAGAAGACGCAAGAGAGCAUACAGAAGCUACUGCUGUUGCAGCAACAGUUGAAGGCCCAACAGCAACUUCUUCAGUCCCAGACAUUCCUGCCCAGCGGAUUCAGCAGCACAGAAGAGGAUAAGCAACUGCAUCACAGUGGAUUAACAAACUCGCCAACGUUGCCCGACGCCGCGUCUGAGGAUUUGGUGCCACCCCUCCCAGCAUCGGAAGCGUUGCCACCGGUGUUUCCGGCGCAGAACUUCUACCAGCAGCGACCUCGACCUCCGGCACUGCCGAAGCAGGACCUUCCUCAAGAAUUUGCGAGCUUGUCCGGCCAAGAAUUCAAAGGUCAACUGUUGCCACAAGGUCAGAACCUUGGGAACAUUGGGCAGAUAGAUGAGAGCCAGAGGCAGGGAGCGAAACACCUAACUGAAAGUUUACCGCCAGCUCAGGAUGAGGAGGAAGAGGUACAGUUGGUUUAUGUGCCGGCAGAGACGCUGGCGCAACGAGGUCAGCCUAAAAGGGGGCGAGGAAGAAAGCAGUUCCCGCAUCGCCAGCAGCACCAGCAACACCAUCAAAACCGCGACAAUCAAGGUGUCGAUACCAGCGCCAUCGUGCCUGAUCAGGACGCCUACACCCGCCAAUUGUUGCAGCAACUACAAAUGGAACGCGAAGAGAAAGAGCGGUUCCUGAAAGAGGAAAGAAUGAAGGAGAUUGCGAGGUUGAAUGAGGAGCAGCGAGAGCUGGAGAGGAAGGCUCGUCUUCAGCAGGAAGCUCUGCAAAGAGAACAAGAGCAGCAGAGACUGCGUGAAGCGGAGAAGAAGAGAAAGGAGCUGGAAGAAAUAGAGAAGCAGAGAGAACUGGAAAGGAUCCGCGAGGCCAGAGAGAAGCAGCGAUUAGAGGAGUUAGAACAAAGGAGAUUAGCCGAGAUUCGAGCGAAGGAGGAGAAAAGAAGAGCUGAAGAGGCGGCUAGACGAAGAGAGGCUGAGGAGGCAGCCAGACAAAGAGAGGCUGAAGAGGCGGCCAGACAAAGAGAGGCUGAGCGAUUAGCCGCCUUGGAGAGACAGAAAGAGCAGGAGCUUCAGAGGGCUCUAAAACAGCAGCAGAUUCUGGAGAAACAACGAGAGGACGAGGCGAGACUUAGUCGUACGAGACUGGAAAAUCAGGAUGGUGUUGCGCAAGCUCUCCCUCUGAUCAAGGAUCAACAGCAACAGCUACAUCGCCAACACCUAACCGAAACGUCAAAACCGGCUAAAAGCAAGAUCAGAGGAAGGCCUCGUCAAAGACCACACCAUCAUGAUCAACAGAACUAUCGGGAAACCACCACUACCACCACCCCCUCCCCUAACCAGCCACCUUUAUCGGUGUACAUGGGUAGCUCCAGCUCGAAGACAGCUAACGUGAAAGUAUCGGACGUGUUGAAGCUCUUAAAAGACGCAAAAACCAUCGCUGUUCUGGACACCGUCGGUCCAGACACUCCACAAGUUUUCGUAGGUCCAACGAAUCUUGACCCACCUUCGGGAUACGCCAAGUUUGAUCUUCCGUAUCUGUCCUCCAUCGAUCACAACCGAGUUGAGAGGAAGGUAGACAAAUUGCCUUUCUUCGUGGCGCCGCUUAGCUUCGAUCCUCCGCCAGGAUACUCCAAGAUCCCCUUCCCAGCGCCUCAUAUCGGCUCCGUCGUCGUAAAUACUUUAGACAACACCGAUCCUAAAGACAGCGAUAACCCUAAUCCGAGUCCAACCCCGUUGAUAGAACCUAACUCUUAUCUGGAUGGCCUGAAUAGCGGCUCUGAUUCCUCCACUCCUCUGUACGAGCCACAGACCACCAUCGGCUACUCCCAGGAUCAGGCGAGUACGCCUAAGUAUGAACAAACGUACUCUUCGGCUCCUCCAACCGGGUACUCGGGAUCUAGGUUCAGAUUUAGGCAGUACUACGGCGACAGCAAGCCAGCCUCCGUGAUCACCACCUCCUAUUACGACGAUCAGAGGCCUACGACGAGGAAACAUAAAUACUUUGACGAUAAUUUAAGAACCACCGAGAAUCCUUUGCAGAAUACCAGAGUGGAGACCUCGGUGAGUCAACGAGAAGAGGUUUCCUACUCCACCACGCAAAGAAUUAAGGAUGAGUCGAUUAUUACCGAGGACCCUGCGACCAAGGCUCAGGAUGUAGCCGCUCAGUUGGCUCUCAUUAAUCAGGAACUUGCUCAGCAAAGGGAGGCUCAGAGAUAUAACACGGCAGGACAAUUUAAUCAGUACAACACUCAAUCUACCACUGGUUUAAGUCACAGCUUCGACGGUGAAAUCGCUUCCGGUGAUAUCAAUGAUGUUAGGAGUCCUGUUGGACCUACACAGUAUAGCUUGCCCGCGGAGCUGCCCGCGAUUUCUCCUCAUCUACCUGGUUUGGUCAAUUCUCUGUUAGACAAGAACGAGGCCAAGCUUCAAACUACCAGUACGACGACUUCCACGACUACCACCACCACGACCACUCAACGUACUCCGACGACUACUUACAGGCCACGCAGUAGACAGAGGAACAGAGUUGUUUCCACGAGACCAAGGACGACAACUCAGACGCCCUCCACGAGGACGAAUGCAGACAGAAGUCGGAGGCCGUACAAUAGGUCCAGGUCUAGAUUCACUACCACGACAGAGGACUAUCGCGAAUCUGCAUACGAAGCUACUAAAUCCAGAAUCCCCGAAACUACAGCUAGAUACAAUGCGGAGCAAAGAAGGCCAAGCAGUAGGACGCAGAAACAUAGGAGUCGAGAUAAAGCGAGUCAACAGGCUGAAGUCUUCCAGAGUCAGAACAUCCAACAACCAUACGAAAACGUUCCGAAUGACGCGGUUUCUCCGACGCCAUCGAGCGCCUUCCUACAACCGACGGGUCCAGACUCCAGCCUUCGUCAGUUGGACGCGUCUCCGAAUCCCCCGGAGAAUUAUCCACCCAGCACCAUCAGCACUACCGAGAACUACCCCUCUUUACCAGCAAGUCACGGAUCGCCAUUAAUUUCCGAGGAUUACUCGAGGAGUCAGAACUAUCCCCAAAAUCUUCCCCAGGAUUCGCGCUAUCGCGGAGGAUACGAUCAGAGCGGAUUAGAGCAAGGUGGUCUCGAGAACGCCCCGGUAAAUGGAUUCAAUUAUCAGACGCAAAACAGGGACACCUACGAGCAGGGUAUCCUUCAGAGACCGAAGGACUAUCAGCUAGACGGCAAAGCAGAGAACACUGACUUCGAGUUGGCCACCACUGCGAAUCCACGACUCAGCGCACAGGAAGAGCAACGUUAUUCCUCGGUUUACGAGGUGAACGUACCACAGACGCAGCCGGAGUUUGGUUUGACCGGACAGAAUUUACAUCGUCUCGAGACCGAGAAGAUUCAACCUGGCGCUGCUGACCCCAACGAUCCAGUAUUUGUCCUGCUGCCGGAGAACAAACAGGAGGAUUACGAGCUCUCUGUUUCCUCCACGGAGACUCCCAUCUCUGAUAUCACGACAGAGACAACCACGACGAGUACGACCCCGGUGAUAAUCCGACAACGCGUCCGAGGACGCGUGGGCUCCCGCGUGCACCACGAGCCCUCGGUUCAGACCCGAAACAGAGGCUCCCAGGACGAAUACGUCCGUUUCAACGUAGUGAACCAAGAAUCAACGCGAACGUCUCCCAGACAGCGAAGCAGAACCAGAUCACGAAACCAGAAUCACGGGUCGCAGGUUCAGACCGACGGCAACGAGUACAUCAAAAUCCACGUGGCUCAACAGAAGCAGGUCGCCACCACGACCCCGCAGCCGACUACGACCACCACUACCACCACCACCACUGAACGUCCACCGGAAGAGGAUGUUGAUUACGGAUUUAUCAGACCGCCGAACUUCCGACCGGUACAUCCGGUGGAUAACAGAUUCCCGGCACCUGUUACGUUCCGGCCUCAGCUUUCAGAGCAUCUUCUGCAGGUGCCGCAGCAAUCACUGUUACCCAACGACGAGACCGCAGUGGAAUCGAGUCCCCCGCAGACCCAGCUGUUAAAAACCCGUCAGAAAUAUCAGCAAGCACCUAAUCGUCGCUUGCCUAUAAAAGCCACGACUCUGCCACCUGCGACCACCACUGAAGCCAUCACCACCACAGAAAGAAUACCUGUUGCCACGGUGCUGCCGGAUGACAGUAUAUACACCGUGAAACCAAAGUCCCGAACCGAUGAGCCUAAGCAAGGCAGAGUAAGAAGCAGAGUUCGACGACCAGGUAGAAAGCGCGUUAGCACGAGCACCACGGAAUCGGUACGAGAAGCGCACAACGAGCUGCCGUUGGAUGAAAAUUAUCCUCGAAUUCGUCCUCAGUCGACGACUACCGAACAGCCACAACAAGCAAAUUUGUACGAUGAUAAUUAUGAUGGUGCUCAGUAUUCUUCGUCGCGCAAUCAGGAUAAUCAACAAUUUUAUGAGACGUCCAGUGAGAAUUAUCCCGCCGAGUUCAUCCUGAAUUUCGGCAACUACCCGUCCCAGCACCGCGACGAGUACGACCAAACGCAGCUGGCCAGCGACGUCCCGCGAAAAUACAGUCAAGAAACUGGAGCGAAGGCGAUCUCCGAAGAUUCUCGUUCGACGACGGCAGACAUUUAUGGUUCGGAGAGUCAGUGGUCCACGAAAUUGACCAGGACCUCGUUCCAGCCGAGUUUCGCAGUGAACCGUGUAGCUGGCGAAGCGAAAAAGGAUCGCGAGUGGUUGCACGAGUCAUCGAAGGACGUUCCCGAUAUAAUCACCGCCGCACCAGAGCCAUCGUCUGUCACGCUGCUGGUUUCUUCGGAGGAUAAGACUAGCGAGGAAGCGCAGGACGAGGAGUCGAUGCUAAUGGGUACCACGAUAUUUGGCAGGAAAACGAACACGCAGGAUCACACGGAGAGAAUGAAUGUUAACGAUACCACAACCGAUGCUCCGAUAAUGCGAGAUAUUAAUGGAAGCGAAGCGGAAACGAAUAGGGAACCGCAGGAGCCCUGGUUGAUAGAUAAGGUGGAAAGUUCCACGGAGAAGCGGGGCGAUAUUGAUUUCGAGAAGAGCCUGAAGAAGAGCGGAGAGACCGGUGUUAUUAAAAAGGGUACACGAAGAAGGAGAGUUCGCGUUCGGGUGAGACCAGCCGUAGACGACUUCGUCACAGCCGAGUCCCAGCACUUCAAUUCCGCUUUCAACGGCUUGUUCAGAGAUCAAUACAAGUACAAUCCCAUCCGUGAGUCCAAGCUUCCAACUUCGUCGAAUUCGCCGGACAAGUUCGAUGUCCAAGACUUCGAGAUAUUGAAGAGCAACGAACCGAAGCCUACGACCACCGAAGUACCGGAAGAAGCGUGGACCAUGGCGCCUGCAGUGACAACUCCCAUGAGUAUCCCGGACGAUGAAGAGACUACAACGGAGGAUCAAGUUACUACGCUACCAACGACGGAAGUACCCGAAGAAACCACGGAGUCCUCCUACGAGGACUUCGUCUCUAGGUUGAGUGAGACCAACGAGACGAAGAAGACAAAGAAAGAUAACUGGAGAGAGAAGAGUGUUAGGGUGACCUUGAACCUCGGGUCAAUCGCAGACGCGAUUAAAGAAAACGAUGUCGACAAACUUAGCGACGAAUCGAACGAGUUGAAGGGCGAAGACAUAAGUUUCUCUGGAACUCGUUCCAAGAAUAACUUCGAGAACGAGGAGAAAGAUGUUUCUUCGGAGGAGUCAAAGGAUGGCGACGAUUAUCCAAAGAACCACCGAGCGAAAUGGAGCGAGGUGAGAUAUCCUUCCUCUUACGAUCAUCCCCAAGCAUCCGGUUGGAGCUACGAGCCAAAAAGUAACAGCAAACCUCCCAGCCCUAUUCCUGGACUGGUGACCAAGGAAGGAGACAGCAGCGUGAAGACGCUCUCCGAUUACGUACAAGCGAUUUUCGACACUAUGAAGAGCGCCGAGGAGGAAACGACGACCGCGAACACUGAGGAAUCCACGACCCUUCAGAUUCCGCUCGAUGAUGAGUUCCAGGAGAGAACAACGACGAUGGACGUAGAGGAUAAAACCACUCGGAUCUCCGUUGACGAGGAAGCGCAGACAAAGAGCGACGAGACAGACAGUAAGGAAAUGACCACGGAGUCUUCGACGAACGCGGAUCUGGAGAAUGUAACGACCUUGGAGAAACUCGCCACGACUCCCCAGAGCGUCAGUUCAUCAUCGGAAUCUUCGACAACGGAUCCUACGCCAGCAAGGACAACCACAUCGCCCAGUAACGCAACGGAGUCCAUCCUCGGAAAGAUCCUGCGGACCUCCACGACCACCAAGGUCUCCCACAUGACGGAAAUCUGUUACAGAGGCCGGUGCGUGAUGACCAGGCCCAGUCGAGAAGUUCGUUUAAGAUGAAGAUCAUCUACGUCUAUUCCUCGUUCAUUUCGAAAACGCGGCUAGCAUGGACGCUGACUGAACGGGCCUCGUUGUUCGCCAUCUUCGUAACCGAGUGAUUAUUUAUUCAACGGAAGCUUUUGAUUCUCUAGUGUCAGGGAUGAAUAUGAACAGAUUAGAGUGAAGUUUUUACUACAAGAGUAUGCUAAAUAUUUGUAUGAGUUUGGAAUGGGAGGGGGAUGUGAGGGGUUGAAGCGAAUCGAUUUAAUAAGAGAUGAUUGACUGCAAAUCGAUCGUGACGUGGCUGUUUAUGAAAACGUUUGCUGAACGUUGUCGUGGCAGCUCGGUUCGAAGCGGAAAACGUAGGCCCGACCCAGGCCGCUUUAAACGAUAGGGGGCUAAGUCUAUUUAACUUAAUUACCUGCUGCUGUACUGUUGGUAUACGUGUAAGUUAAGCGUUUAAGUAUUUUCAAUAAAAACACGAAGAAAGCAAGGUCUCCUUUGACCCUCGAUAGUUCUUUGACGAUAA